GGAUGAACGUUGGCGGCGUGCCUAAUACAUGCAAGUCGAACGAAGACUGUAGUAAUACUGUCUUAGUGGCGAACGGGUGAGUAACGCGUGGGUGACCUGCCCCGAAGUGUGGGAUAACAGUCCGAAAGGAUUGCUAAUACUGCAUAAUAUCCAAGAGAUUAGAUGCUUUUGGAUUAAAGGAGUAAUUCGCUUCGGGAGGGGCCCGCGUCCCAUCAGCUAGUUGGUAAGGUAAUGGCUUACCAAGGCGAUGACGGGUAGGGGACCUGAGAGGGUGGCCCCCCACAAUGGAACUGAAACACGGUCCAUACACCUACGGGUGGCAGCAGUAGGGAAUAUUAGUAAUGGGCGAAAGCCUGAACUAGCAACGCCGCGUGUGCGAAGAAGGCCUUCGGGUCGUAAAGCACUUUUUGAGAGGAUGAGGAAGGACGGUACUCUCAGAAUAAGUCUCGGCUAACUACGUGCCAGCAGCCGCGGUAACACGUAGGAGGCAAACGUUAUCCGGAUUUACUGGGCGUAAAGCGCGUGUAGGUGGUUUGGUAAGUAGGGCGUGAAAGCUCCUGGCUCAACUGGGAGAGGACGUUCUAAACUGCCAAGCUUGAGGAUGGUAGAGGGAGGUGGAAUUCCGGGUGUAGCGGUGGAAUGCGCAGAUAUCCGGAGGAACACCAGUGGCGAAGGCGGCUUACUGGACUGUAACUGACGCUGAGACACGAAAGCGUGGGUAGCAAACAGGAUUAGAUACCCUGGUAGUCCACGCUGUAAACGAUGAGUGCUAGGUGUUGGGUAGCGAUAUUCAGUGCCGGAGUAAACACAAUAAGCACUCCGCCUGGGGAGUACGUACGCAAGUAUGAAACUCAAAGGAAUUGACGGGGACCCGCACAAGCAGCGGAGCAUGUGGUUUAAUUCGAAGCAACGCGAAGAACCUUACCAAGGCUUGACAUCCCCUUGACCAGUGCAGAGAUGUACUCUCUUCUUCGGAAGCAAGGGAGACAGGUGGUGCAUGGUUGUCGUCAGCUCGUGUCGUGAGAUGUUGGGUUAAGUCCCGCAACGAGCGCAACCCUUAUCCUUAGUUGCCAGCAUAUAAGGUGGGCACUCUAAGGAGACUGCCGGUGAUAAACCGGAGGAAGGUGGGGAUGACGUCAAAUCAUCAUGCCCCUUAUGUCUUGGGCUACACACGUGCUACAAUGGUCGGUACAACGGGGAGCGAAGGAGUGAUCCGGAGCAAAUCCCAAUAAACCGAUCCCAGUUCGGAUUGCAGGCUGCAACUCGCCUGCAUGAAGUCGGAGUUGCUAGUAAUCGCGAAUCAGCACGUCGCGGUGAAUGCGUUCCCGGGUCU
This 1333-nucleotide ribosomal RNA is filed under the name uncultured bacterium. RNAcentral describes it as "bacterial SSU rRNA". It matches the Rfam family "Bacterial small subunit ribosomal RNA", at positions 27 to 1381 of the family's 1533-position model. The record is from RNAcentral.